Molecule: non-coding RNA, 40 nt
Organism: Pedobacter africanus
Lineage: Bacteria; Pseudomonadati; Bacteroidota; Sphingobacteriia; Sphingobacteriales; Sphingobacteriaceae
Source: Rfam
CGGGAGUAUGCUGAAAAUCCCGUAAGAAAAAGAGUAGGCA